Molecule: ribosomal RNA, 460 nt
Filed under: uncultured bacterium
Lineage: Bacteria
Description: partial 16S ribosomal RNA
Rfam family: Bacterial small subunit ribosomal RNA
Source: RNAcentral
CCUACGGGAGGCAGCAGUGAGGAAUAUUGGUCAAUGGCCGGAAGGCUGAACCAGCCAUGCCGCGUGAAGGUCAGUGCCCUAUGGGCGUUAAACUUCUUUUGUGCGGGAGCAAUAAUGGUCACGUGUGGCCAGACGAGAGUACCGUACGAAUAAGCCUCGGCUAACUCCGUGCCAGCAGCCGCGGUAAUACGGGGGAUGCCAGCGUUAUUCGGAUUUUUUGGGUUUAAAGGGUGCGGAGGCUGUGAGGUAAGUCAGCAGUGAAAUGCCCGCGCUCAACGGGGUGAAGUGCCAUUGAUACUGCCUGGCUAGAAUGCAGAUGCGGUGGGAGGAAUGUGUGGUGUAGCGGUGAAAUGCAUAGAGAUCACACAGAACACCGAUUGCGAAGGCAUCUCACGAAGCCGCGAUUGACGCUUAGGCACGAAAGCGUGGGUAUCAAACAGGAUUAGAUACCCCGGUAGUC